RNAcentral lists this ribosomal RNA (435 nucleotides) under Triticum aestivum (bread wheat). Its description in RNAcentral is "partial small subunit ribosomal RNA". The record is from RNAcentral. Lineage: Eukaryota; Viridiplantae; Streptophyta; Magnoliopsida; Poales; Poaceae.
AUGUCGACCCGAGCACCUACUCCCCGGCGGAGGCAGCGAACCCCAGUGCAUUCAAUGCCUUCACGGUGUACGAUGGCCCGCAGGUCUGGAUAUCCACGGUGGCCGCCGGCACGCGCUCCUACAACAUCGCAAGCAGCCAUGGAGCAAGGCCCGCCCGUGCGCCACUGCUGUUCAGAGGCCGGGCCGAGCACGACCUCUGGUUUGGCUUCUCGUGCCAAGACGGGAGGCUCUGCGCAUCCGACCUCGCCCAAAUGCGACCGGUGCUGGAAGACGACCCGCCUCCGGCUGAGGCGUGCUCCCCGACAACGACGACGUGCAAAAAUGUUGUACGGAGUCAUGGUGCAGUCAAACCCAUGCUCAACACGUACAUCCUCUCACACCAUCUAUUGGGAUUUGUGUCCGGCGUGCAUCAAAACUCAUGGCAGGAGUCAUUAA